UAGGGAAUCUUCCACAAUGGACGCAAGUCUGAUGGAGCAACGGCCGCGUGAGUGAAGAAGGUUUUCGGACCGUAAAGCUCUGUUGUUGGUGAAGAAGGAUAGAGGUAGUAACUGGCCUUUAUUUGACGGUAAUCAACCAGAAAGUCACGGCUAACUACGUGCCAGCAGCCGCGGUAAUACGUAGGUGGCAAGCGUUGUCUGGAUUUAUUGGGCGUAAAGCGAGCGCAGGCGGAAGAAUAAGUCUGAUGUGAAAGCCCUCGGCUUAACCGAGGAAUUGCAUCGGAAACUGUUUUUCUUGAGUGCAGAGGAGGAGAGUAGAACUCCAUGUGUAGCGGUGGAAUGCGUAGAUAUAUGGAAGAAUACCAGUGGCGAAGGCGGCUCUCUGGUCUGCAACUGACGCUGAGGCUCGAAAGCAUGGGUAGCGAACAGGAUUAGAUACCCUGGUAGUCCAUGCCGUAAACGAUGAGUGCUAAGUGUUGGGAGGCUUCCGCCUCUCAGUGCUGCAGCUAACGCAUUAAGCACUCCGCCUGGGGGAGUACGACCGCAAGGUUGAAAC
This 556-nucleotide ribosomal RNA is filed under the name uncultured bacterium. Its description in RNAcentral is "partial 16S ribosomal RNA". It matches the Rfam family "Bacterial small subunit ribosomal RNA", at positions 355 to 900 of the family's 1533-position model. The record is from RNAcentral.